UCUCAUGUGGAAUUGUCGGCUGUCACCCGCCGACAUGAACGCGGAGUCCCUAAUAAUCUUGUGUCAUCGUCCCACGGAGAAUACUUCUCUGCUCCUUGCGCACACCGCGCGUCGCUCCUUACUAGUGUGGUAAAAAUGAUGCUUGGUCAAGUUGGUCAUAUCUGAGUUUCUAUCUAUGCAUAGGAGGGAGAAGUCGUACCAUGGUAACCGAUUACGAGGCGCAGCAGGCGCGAAACCUCCGCAAUACACGAAAGUGUGACGGGGUUACCCAAAGUGUUCAAUUUUGAACUGUGGUAGGUGAGUAAUGUUCCCUACUAGAAAGGAGAGGGCAAGGCUGGUGCCAGCCGCCGCGGUAAAACCAGCUCUUCAAGUGGUCGGGAUAAUUAUUGGGCUUAAAGUGUCCGUAGCCGGUUUAGUAAGUUCCUGGUAAAAUCGGGUAGCUUAACUAUCUAUAUGCU
Molecule: ribosomal RNA, 458 nt
Filed under: uncultured archaeon
Lineage: Archaea
Description: bacterial SSU rRNA
Rfam family: Archaeal small subunit ribosomal RNA
Source: RNAcentral